GUCGGUUCUAUGUCUUCGAGAAGGCCCAUCGCCUCGACCCCACCUCCAGCGGCGCUGGAGUUCUCCUUGUCGGCCGACGACUACAGGCUCAUGGAGGAGGUCUGCUUCGGCGCCAAGAGAAAAUGUGUUGUGGAUCUGUCCAGCUGGUCUGUGUUAAGCUGGGACGAUCCAUCCAGUUAUAGCUUUUUAUAUUUUAUUACAGUGAAAAUGGCAGUACUAGCUUUAGUAGCAUCAAGGUUUAGGUUUCUUCUUUUACUGGAGUUACCAAUGGCUGACAGUUUUUUAUAUACUCAAUCCUGCAAUUUCUUUUAUAGAUUUUCAGCUUGAUCCACUGUUUUGGUUAGUGAUUUGCAUUACCCUUGCCGCUGCUCUGCUCUGUACAUACGUAACCUAGGACUCUUAUCUAUAUUAUUAUCAGGGGCACUCUUUGGUUGCUAUUCUACAAUUAUUAGUUUCACAAAACUGCUUGUAACUCCUCUGGAAGCACUGCAGUAUGCGGUCUCUAGGAUGGUUUUUCCUCACUGCAUAUGCUGCUGUGAUUUAAUUUGACUUGGUAACAAUGGCUGUCAAACAAUCAAACACAAGCAAAUUAAAUGCUUUCUAGUAUUCCAUAUAGUGCUUGCUAUGCAGUGUAUAGUUUUGAAUGGUUCAAUUAUACAGAGCUCUCCAUGCCCAAGAUGAGAAAUUCUCGCUAUCAAUCUGUUUGAUGCUAUCAUUUUCUUACCAUCAUAUUAUAUGUGCCGCUCAAUAUUCAACCUGCUUUAAUCUAUACUAGUAUUCAGUUUGUACCUCAUCUAGCACAUUGCCUAAAAUAGCCACUAUUCUUUCAAUGAAUUUAGUAGAAUUACCUUGUGAUUCCUCUAUUUGCUUCAUAUUAUGGUUGCUCUACUGCUAGUGUCUUACUAGCUUGUUCUGGCUCAUCGUGUUCCUGCUUGUAGUUGAUUUUUCAUGUGCCUAAGUAUAUGUGUAGUACACGUGCAAGCAAACAUUUGAACUCAAACCCAUCCAUCCUUUGUACUGUACUAUAUAGACUGAAGAAGUAAUGUAGAUGAAUAUACAUGCAGUUUUAUUAAGUGAAUGCCAGGCAAACAACUAACUUGCUCUUGUCCAUGUAGAUGGAGUAGGAGGAUGAGCAGCAGCAACAAAUGAGCCUGAUGGUGAAGAAGCACCUGAUGACCAGAACUCCUUCAAGUGCUCUUUAGUCGUUCCAAAACAAGGUCUUGAUGUCCCCCUCACAGAAAAUGUUCAUAUAUGUUCCUGCAUGAUGUGUGUGUGCAUGUUGGAUGGUCACAUUCUAGUGUACUAGCUAGCUAGUAAGCUUGUUUUGCUACCGGAUGAUUGAAUGUCAUCUCAGUUUGUACCUCAUCUAGCUCACCACCUCAAAUUGCCACUGUUUUGUUAGUGUUUCCUUAUUGGUUGGCUAAACAUAUUUGUUUGUUUGAUUUGGAGCAUUAGACGCUCUCCAUCGAUGAUUGCCUAAUUUUAUUCAUCGUCUCCACAAUAUAUUCAUUUGAUUGUCUGCUACAUCUGCACUUAAAUACUCAUAAUGCUUUUGUCCGGCCUUUGUUCAAUUGGACUGACCAUAUCUCUGGUUAAAAUUGUGGUCUUGAUCUUUUCUUUAAACCUGGGACAUCAUGCAUAACUAGCUCUUUCUUUUCAGUCUAAACCUGAGACCUUUUUUUGUUUUCAGUCACACUGCUGUUUUGUUGUGCUUGAUAAACCUGAGACUUCUUUCGAUUGUAAUAUCAAAGUUGUUUGGUUCUGGCCUCAGCAGUAGUGUACUAAUAUUGAAGUUGUUCACUCCUUUACAUGAGCUCCAGGCCUAAUUUUUU
This 1832-nucleotide long non-coding RNA is filed under the name Triticum aestivum (bread wheat). RNAcentral's name for it is "long non-coding RNA (TAES_LNC011126)". Lineage: Eukaryota; Viridiplantae; Streptophyta; Magnoliopsida; Poales; Poaceae. The record is from RNAcentral.